UCCGUAGGUGAACCUGCGGAAGGAUCAUUACAGAGUUCAUGCCCUCACGGGUAGAUCUCCCACCCUUGAAUACAUACCUUUGUUGCUUUGGCGGGCCACGUCCGCGUGUCGGCUUCGGCUGGCUGCGCCCGCCAGAGGACCCCAACUCGUUUGUUUAGUGAUGUCUGAGUACUAUAUAAUAGUUAAAACUUUCAACAACGGAUCUCUUGGUUCUGGCAUCGAUGAAGAACGCAGCGAAAUGCGAUAAGUAAUGUGAAUUGCAGAAUUUAGUGAAUCAUCGAAUCUUUGAACGCACAUUGCGCCUCUUGGUAUUCCGAGGGGCAUGCCUGUCCGAGCGUCAUUAUGACCACUCAAGCCUGGCUUGGUGUUGGGGCUCGCGGUUCUGCGGCCCUUAAAAUCAGUGGCGGCGCCAUCCGGCUCUCAGCGUAGUAAUACUCCUCGCUACAGAGCCCCGGUGGAUGCUUGCCAGCAACCCCCCAUCUCACGGUUGACCUCGGAUCAGGUAGGGAUACCCGCUGAACUUAAGCAUAUCAAUAAGCGGAGGA
Molecule: ribosomal RNA, 545 nt
Filed under: uncultured fungus
Lineage: Eukaryota; Fungi
Description: eukaryotic LSU rRNA
Rfam family: 5.8S ribosomal RNA (bases 187-340)
Source: RNAcentral